This 466-nucleotide ribosomal RNA is filed under the name uncultured bacterium. RNAcentral describes it as "partial 16S ribosomal RNA". It matches the Rfam family "Bacterial small subunit ribosomal RNA", at positions 28 to 507 of the family's 1533-position model. The record is from RNAcentral.
GAUGAACGCUGGCGGCGUGCUUAACACAUGCAAGUCGAACGAUGAAGCCCAGCUUGCUGGGUGGAUUAGUGGCGAACGGGUGAGUAACACGUGAGUAACCUGCCCUUAACUCUGGGAUAAGCCUGGGAAACUGGGUCUAAUACCGGAUAGGAGCGUCCACCGCAUGGUGGGUGUUGGAAAGAUUUAUCGGUUUUGGAUGGACUCGCGGCCUAUCAGCUUGUUGGUGGGGUAAUGGCUCACCAAGGCGACGACGGGUAGCCGGCCUGAGAGGGUGACCGGCCACACUGGGACUGAGACACGGCCCAGACUCCUACGGGAGGCAGCAGUGGGGAAUAUUGCACAAUGGGCGCAAGCCUGAUGCAGCGACGCCGCGUGAGGGAUGACGGCCUUCGGGUUGUAAACCGCUUUCGGUAGGGAAGAAGCGAGAGUGACGGUACCUGCAGAAGAAGCACCGGCUAACUACGUG